UACGUAGGGUCCGAGCGUUGUCCGGAAUUAUUGGGCGUAAAGAGCUCGUAGGCGGUUUGUCGCGUCUGCUGUGAAAUCCCGAGGCUCAACCUCGGGCCUGCAGUGGGUACGGGCAGACUGGAGUGCGGUAGGGGAGAAUGGAAUUCCUGGUGUAGCGGUGGAAUGCGCAGAUAUCAGGAGGAACACCGAUGGCGAAGGCAGUUCUCUGGGCCGUAACUGGCGCUGAGGAGCGAGAGCGUGGGGAGCGAACAGG
This 253-nucleotide ribosomal RNA is filed under the name uncultured bacterium. Its description in RNAcentral is "partial 16S ribosomal RNA". It matches the Rfam family "Bacterial small subunit ribosomal RNA", at positions 524 to 776 of the family's 1533-position model. The record is from RNAcentral.